This 458-nucleotide ribosomal RNA is filed under the name uncultured bacterium. RNAcentral's name for it is "partial 16S ribosomal RNA". It matches the Rfam family "Bacterial small subunit ribosomal RNA", at positions 338 to 795 of the family's 1533-position model. The record is from RNAcentral.
CCUACGGGCGACAGCAGUGGGGAAUAUUGCACAAUGGGGGAAACCCUGAUGCAGCGACGCCGCGUGAGUGAAGAAGUAAUUCGUUACGUAAAGCUCUAUCAGCAGGGAAGAAACACUGACCUUACGGUCAGCAGACGGUACCUGAGUAAGAAGCCCCGGCUAACUACGUGCCAGCAGCCGCGGUAAUACGUAGGGGGCAAGCGUUAUCCGGAUUUACUGGGUGUAAGGGGAGCGUAGACGGUGGGCCAAGUCUGGAGUGAAAUGCCGCAGCUUAACUGCGGAACUGCUUUGGAAACUGGCGAACUAGAGUGCGGGAGGGGUGAGCGGAACUCCUAGUGUAGCGGUGAAAUGCGUAGAUAUUAGGAGGAACACCGGUGGCGAAGGCGGCUUACUGGACCGUAACUGACGUUGAGGCUCGAAAGCGUGGGGAGCAAACAGGAUUAGAUACCCUAGUAGUC